Molecule: transfer RNA, 65 nt
Filed under: Typhlocyba choui
Lineage: Eukaryota; Metazoa; Arthropoda; Insecta; Hemiptera; Cicadellidae
Description: tRNA-Ile
Source: RNAcentral
AAUGAGAUGCCUGAUCAAAGGAUUAUUUUGAUAGAAUAAAUCAAGUAGUUAUACUACUUUCAUUG